RNAcentral lists this ribosomal RNA (496 nucleotides) under uncultured bacterium. Its description in RNAcentral is "bacterial SSU rRNA". It matches the Rfam family "Bacterial small subunit ribosomal RNA", at positions 16 to 507 of the family's 1533-position model. The record is from RNAcentral.
AUCCUGGCUCAGAUUGAACGCUGGCGGCAUGCCUUACACAUGCAAGCCGAACGGCAGCGGGCCUUCGGGGUGCCGGCGAGUGGCGAACGGGUGAGUAAUGCAUCGGAACGUGCCAUUGAGUGGGGGAUAACGUAGCGAAAGUUACGCUAAUACCGCAUAUUCUGUGAGCAGGAAAGCAGGGGACCGCAAGGCCUUGCGCUCUUUGAGCGGCCGAUGUCAGAUUAGCUAGUUGGUGAGGUAAAAGGCUUACCAAGGCGACGAUCUGCAGCGGGUCUGAGAGGAUGAUCCGCCACACUGGAACUGAGACACGGUCCAGACUCCUGCGGGAGGCAGCAGUGGGGAAUUUUGGACAAUGGGCGCAAGCCUGAUCCAGCCAUGCCGCGUGAGUGAAGAAGGCCUUCGGGUUGUAAAGCUCUUUCGGCCGGGAAGAAAUCGCAUGGGUUAAUACCCUGUGUGGAUGACGGUACCGGAAUAAGAAGCACCGGCUAACUACGUG